CCUACGGGAGGCAGCAGUGAGGAAUAUUGGUCAAUGGGCGGAAGCCUGAACCAGCCAAGUAGCGUGCGGGAUGAAGGCCCUACGGGUCGUAAACCGCUUUUGCACGGGGAUAACACCCUCCACUUGUGGAGGUCUGCAGGUACCGUGCGAAUAAGGGCCGGCUAAUUCCGUGCCAGCAGCCGCGGUAAUACGGAAGGCCCGAGCGUUAUCCGGAUUCAUUGGGCUUAAAGGGAGCGUAGGCGGGCGUUCAAGUCAGCUGUAAAAUCGCGCGGCUCAACCGCGCCCCGCAGUUGAAACUGGACGCCUUGAGUUCACAACAGGCAGGCGGAAUUCGUGGUGUAGCGGUGAAAUGCAUAGAUAUCUGGAGGAACAUCAGUGGCGAAGGCGACUAUCUGGCACAUAACUGACGCUGAGGAGCGAAAGCGUGGGUAGCAAACAGGAUUAGAUACCCCAGUAGUC
This 459-nucleotide ribosomal RNA is filed under the name uncultured bacterium. Its description in RNAcentral is "partial 16S ribosomal RNA". It matches the Rfam family "Bacterial small subunit ribosomal RNA", at positions 338 to 795 of the family's 1533-position model. The record is from RNAcentral.